AUAUUGAAAAAACACCAGAUCAUUUGCCUGGGAGGGACAUAAACAGGCCAAGCGGAUGCAGGUUAAUAAAAUCCGAAAAAGCCCAGACAGGAACACUUAAAAUGCCCAGAACAAAGCACACCGUGACAAAUUCUCACCCAACACGCAAGUACACGUACCGGAAUGUUCCCAGGCGC
Molecule: small RNA, 176 nt
Filed under: Castor canadensis (American beaver)
Lineage: Eukaryota; Metazoa; Chordata; Mammalia; Rodentia; Castoridae
Description: sRNA (ENSCCNG00000009642.1)
Source: RNAcentral